Molecule: ribosomal RNA, 796 nt
Filed under: Lacticaseibacillus casei
Lineage: Bacteria; Bacillati; Bacillota; Bacilli; Lactobacillales; Lactobacillaceae
Description: bacterial SSU rRNA
Rfam family: Bacterial small subunit ribosomal RNA
Source: RNAcentral
CCAGCGGCGGGGCUAUCUGCAGUCGACGAGUUCUGAUUAUUGAAAGGUGCUUGCAUCUUGAUUUAAUUCUGAACGAGUGGCGGACGGGUGAGUAACACGUGGGUAACCUGCCCUUAAGUGGGGGAUAACAUUUGGAAACAGAUGCUAAUACCGCAUAAAUCCAAGAACCGCAUGGUUCUUGGCUGAAAGAUGGCGUAAGCUAUCGCUUUUGGAUGGACCCGCGGCGUAUUAGCUAGUUGGUGAGGUAACGGCUCACCAAGGCAAUGAUACGUAGCCGAACUGAGAGGUUGAUCGGCCACAUUGGGACUGAGACACGGCCCAAACUCCUACGGGAGGCAGCAGUAGGGAAUCUUCCACAAUGGACGCAAGUCUGAUGGAGCAACGCCGCGUGAGUGAAGAAGGCUUUCGGGUCGUAAAACUCUGUUGUUGGAGAAGAAUGGUCGGCAGAGUAACUGUUGUCGGCGUGACGGUAUCCAACCAGAAAGCCACGGCUAACUACGUGCCAGCAGCCGCGGUAAUACGUAGGUGGCAAGCGUUAUCCGGAUUUAUUGGGCGUAAAGCGAGCGCAGGCGGUUUUUUAAGUCUGAUGUGAAAGCCCUCGGCUUAACCGAGGAAGUGCAUCGGAAACUGGGAAACUUGAGUGCAGAAGAGGACAGUGGAACUCCAUGUGUAGCGGUGAAAUGCGUAGAUAUAUGGAAGAACACCAGUGGCGAAGGCGGCUGUCUGGUCUGUAACUGACGCUGAGGCUCGAAAGCAUGGGUAGCGAACAGGAUUAGAUACCGGGGUAAGUCCAAAA